CACCUUCCCCCUCUGAGGCUUCUUCGUCGUUAAGAAUGCUUGCACCUUUCGUGGAACCAGGGAUGGUUGACGAAGACCUCGAGUUGCUUCUUUUCACCUUCCCCCUGUCGGAGUUCAAAAGGGGACUGAUGAUGAGGGUACACGCUUUGCCCAAUUUUCGCCUCGAUAGUUUCUUGAAACCUUAAGAGUGAUCUUUCCUUGGUGCUUUGAUCGGCAAGGAAAGGGGAGAAGGAAACAAGGAGAAGAUUCUGGUACGUGGGUUCAGGUGGAUUUGAGAGGGAGCACGAACGGAGUGUUGGGUAUGGACAUAGCAGAGGGUGGGUCGAGCAGCAGGAGGAGAAGAGACAGUGACCUGACGGAUAUCGUCUUCUCUUGGUCUCUUCACGACAUUCUCAACGAAAACUUCUACCAUGACCAGGUGGGGACAAUACCGGAGACAUUUCAGUCGGUCCAGCAUUAUCUGGGAUCUUAUGUCUAUCCUUUACUGGAAGAAACACGGGCGAGUCUGUGCUCGAGUUUGGAAAAUAUUUCUUCGCUGCCUUUCACCGAGGUUUAUGACUUUGUGGAAUGCAAGAGAAGUGGGAACUCAUAUGCUAUUAAGGCUGGUCGGUGGAGCAAUGAAUCCAACACUCGUGGCAAGGAAAGUUACAAAACUUUGCCUGGAGAUAUCUUGAUUCUAACUGAUGCUAAGCCAGCAACUGUUGCUGACUUGGAGAGGUUUGGAAGAAGAUGGGCGUUUGCAUCGGUAAGGAUGAUUGGAGGGGACGGUGAAGAGGAUGAGACAUUGUCAUCCACGUACUUUAAAGUGGAGGCAUUAUUGGACCAUGAAGUAAAAAAUUCCUGGAAGCCAAUGUAUGCAAUUUUCCUGAUAAAUAUAACCACUAACAGAAGGAUAUGGAAUGCGUUGCAUAUGUCUCUGAACUUGGAUAUCGUGAAGGAACUUCUCUGCAAAGAUUUGGUGGCUGAUAAAGUUUCUAAUCUCUGUAUUACAAAAGGUAAUGGUUCUGGGAGUGAGAGCCUUGACGAGAAAUUGUGCCAUAAUCUGAAUGAAUCCCAAAAAGAAGCAGUUGGAGCCUGUCUCAGUAAACUCCAAUGUGAGAACAAGCCAUCUGUUGAACUGAUAUGGGGUCCUCCUGGAACUGGGAAAACUAAAACCGUCGCCACACUGCUAUUUACUCUCUUGAAAAGGAAACAUAGAACCAUUGUUUGUGCACCUACAAAUGUUGCCAUCAAGGAAGUGGCAUCGCGUGUUCUAAAGCUGCUAAAGGAAUCAGAUAGUGGUAUAAGCACUGAAAUGGAAAGUUUGCUCUGUUACUUUGGAGACAUGGUUAUUUUUGGGAACAAGGAGCGUCUGAAAGUUGAUUCCGACAUUGAACAAAUAUUUUUAGAACACCGUGUAGAUUGUGUUGCUGAGUGCUUUUCUAAAUUCACCGGUUGGCAUCAGUGUCUAACUUCCAUGAUAGAUACUCUUGCCGACUGUGUGCAUCAAUACCACAUAUUUUUGGAAAACGAACACACAAAAAGAGCGAAACCAGAAAGUGAUGAGGAUGGGAGCAAAUGCAGAAGCAGUGAAAAAGAUGGUAACUGUGAGCUUAAAUCAUUUCUUGAGUUUUUCAGGGACCGAUUCAAGGCAUCUGUCCAGCCCCUGCGGAGAUGCCUCUUUAUUUUCUGUACUCAUAUAUCAAGAACUAAUUUCCAGAAUAUUACAUCCCUCAUUAACUUACUUGAUUCUUUUGAAACUUUAUUAUGUGGAGAGAAGUUGGAUUCAGAGAUGAUGGAGAUAACUCUUUCACGUGAUGAACUUAGCCCGUUUCCAUUUAAGAUGUCCAUGUGUCCACUAUAUAAUUUAUAUAUGAAGAGACAGGAAUGCCUUUCCAUGUUGCUAACCGUUUGUGAUUCUCUGAAGGAUCUAAAACUUCCAAACUUUACGAGUAAGGCCAUGAUAGCAGACUUCUGUUAUCAACAUGCUUCCCUGAUUUUUUGCACUGCUUCUAGUUCAUAUAAGCUGUACUCUGUGGAAAUGGAGCCUCUCAAUUUACUGGUGAUCGAUGAGGCAGCCCAGUUGAAAGAAUGCGAAUCAGUAAUUCCUCUGCAACUCCCUGGUGUCAAGCAUUUGAUUUUAGUAGGAGAUGAGUGUCAGUUGCCUGCUAUGGUCGAAAGCAAGGUUUCCAAUAGGGCCGGAUUUGGAAGGAGUCUGUUUGAACGAUUGAGUUCACUGGGUUAUUCAAGGCAACUUCUCAAUAUACAAUACCGGAUGCAUCCAUCAAUAAGUCUGUUCCCGACUUCAAACUUUUAUCAAAACCAAAUUUUGGAUGGGCCAGAUGUGAAGAGCAAAAGUUACAGGAAAAGUCAUUUGCCAUGGCCAAUGUUUGGCCCUUACUCGUUCAUAAAUAUUCCUGAUGGACGAGAACAGUUCGGUGAUGACCGCUGUAGCCUUAGAAACCUUGUUGAGGUGGAAAUUAUUUCAAGGAUAGUGAGGAAUCUGUACAGAGCUUGGGAUAUGUCAAAAGAAGAUCUGACAGUAGGUGUGAUAUCUCCCUACACAGCUCAGGUUGCUGCAGUACAAGCUAAACUUGGAAAAAGGUAUGAAAAUAUCGAGGGCUUUAUGGUCAAGGUGAAGUCAGUGGAUGGAUUCCAAGGUGGUGAAGAAGACAUUGUUAUAAUAUCCACUGUAAGAUCAAACUUGUGUGGGGAUAUUGGUUUCUUGUCCAGUACUAAGAGAACCAAUGUUGCUCUUACCAGGGCCAGGUAUUGUCUGUGGAUUCUGGGAAAUGGGAAAACACUGACGAAAAGCAAUUCUGUAUGGAAAGCUUUGGUUGACAAUGCUAUGAGUCGUAGAUGUUUCUACAAUGUUGACGAUGACAAGGAACUGGCUAACGCCAUCUUAGAUGUGAAGAAAGAGAAUAAUGAGCUUGAUGACCUGCUAGACAGAAACAGUGUACUUUUCAGAAAUGCUAGGUGGAAGGUUCUUUUCAGUGACAACUUCCUGAAGUCUUUCAGAAAGUUGACAUCACUCGGGACAAAGAUGUCAAUCAUUAUGCUUCUGUCAAGACUAUCCAGUGGCUGGAGACCAAAGAAGGGGAAUGUGGAUAUAAUUUGUGAACACUCAUCUCAUAUCGUGAGACAAUUUAAGGCUGAAGGUCUCUAUGUCUUAUGCACGAUUGAUAUUGUAAAGGAACAGAGAUACAUCCAAAUCCUGAAGAUAUGGGAUGUAGUGCCUUUAAAGGAUGUGGCAAAAUUGGUCAAACGUUUGGACAGCAUAUUCAGGAAAUACAGUGAUGAUUUUAUCAGUCGUUGCAAUGAGAAAUGCAUUGAAGGGGGUCAGGAAGUUCCGAAGACAUGGGUCUGUCCUUCUGAUUUUGUCCGCUGUUGAAGUCCUGGUGAAGAUCAAUUUGGGAGUAGUUUUCAUGCUGAUGCUUCCGAUCGUAGGCCGUAUGCAGAGAAUGCGAAAGUGAGUGGGAGUUUGCUUCUGAUGAAAUUCUACCCAUUAUCAUCAGAUGUUGUCAGCCAUUUGCUUGAUGACAGUGAUGGUAACGAAGCAAGUCUUCCAUUUGAAGUAAAAGAGCAAGAACAAGAGUUAAUUCUUUUCCCCAGAAGCACUUUUUAUACUCGGGCGAUCUGGAACCUGAAAAACUACAGUCCUGACAUGAAGUUUCUUAGAAAUGAGAAAACACAUGAUAAAGCAACCAAGGGAUUUCAGGAAAUCUAAAGUGGUAUCAGCCACAGCAAAGAUGCCUCUUCAAAAAUCAAUGUUGAGGAAUUUGGUGAAGGAGCAGAGGAUUGUGUAUUGCGCCAGCUUUUUGUGACCAUCAGUGUAAAAUUAUGUUUUGUGGUCAAACAUGUAUCUUAACUUAGAAGCUCUAGCAUUGGGGCAAAACAGAGUAAAAAGCUCUUCAGUUGAUGAGAUUGUUGAUGAUGCAGCAUUAUUCAAGGAUAUCCCUGAUUCAUUUGCUUAUGUAUCUCCCAACUCUUAUCUCCUUGUUAUAACUUUUCGUAAGCUUCUGAUGAUGCUAGAUGGAACAGUUGGGGUUUCAUUCUUUGAAAGGUUUCCCAAUCUGAGGGAGUUUUUUGAUUGCCAAUCCUACAAUUCUAGACCAGUUGCCUUGCAAAGUCUUCUAAAAACAAAGGAAGUUACUAAGGAGGCUUGAUCCUUCCAGAGUCUUCACUGAAAUAACGUCCCACAUAAAGGGUGGUCUUCAACCAGCAGAUGGUUGUGAAGGCAAACUUGACAGACUAGCUUAUGUUUGACUUUCAGAGGAUCAUUUCUUCACUCUGAGUGUUCAGAGGAGAAGAAAUUUAUGACGCUUUUGAGGAUUAUGAAAAGAUGAAAAUGAAUAAUGGUGAAUCUGAUUUGGCCGAUCUUGUCAAUGAUCUUCAUUGCCGUCUUCUUCGUGAGCAGUUUGCUGGAAAGGUCGUGGAUUUUGAAUAUAUUGAUGAAGUGCAGGAUCUCACCACGAGACAAAUUUCACUGUUCAAGUAUAUCUGUAGAAACGUUGAUGGGGGUCUUUGUGUUUUCUGGCGACACUGCAUAAACUAUUGCAAGGGGAAUAGUCUUCAGGUCUGAAGACAUAAGGUCCGUUUUCUACAAGGAGUUCUUGAUAAAUUCAACGGAUGGACCUGAUGUCACAAUGGAAAAGGGUUGUCUUUCCAAAACUUUCCAUUUGAACCAGAACUUCCGCACUCAUGCUGGUAUACUCAAAACUGGUGCAGAGCGUUGUUGAUCUUCUUUACCAUUUUUUCCCUUUAUCCGUUGAUGCUUUGAGGCCUGAAACUAGCUUUAUAUGUGGAGAAGCCGCAAUUUUACUAGAAUCAGAGAAUGAUGAGUGCCAUACUAUUACUUUUUGGCAACAAUAAUGUUGGUAGUAAUUUGGUUGGCUUUGGGGCAGAGCAGGUUAUUUUGGUUCAAGAUGAUCAUUCUCGAAAUGAAGUUUCAAACCUUGUGAGAGGGUAAGCCCUAGUUCUGACAAUAGUGGAGUGCAAGGUGUUGGAAUUUCAGGACAUCUUAUUGUACAACGUUUUUGGCACGUCACCUCUUAAAAGUCAAUGGAGGGUCAUUUAUGGAUCCAUGAAGGAGCGAGCUUUGCUCAAUAACAGCUCUCAAUGGUCUUCCCCAAGUUUCGAUGAUGCGAAGCACAAUAUAUUAUGCUCUGAAUUGAAGCAAUUGUAUGUCGCAAUUACUCAGACAAGGUUAAGAUUGUGGAUUGGUGAGAAUACCCUGGAGUUCUCCAAACCAAUGUUCGACUACUGGAAGAAGAAGUGGCUCAUUCAAGUUAGGGUGGUAGAUCAUGCCCUUGGAGAAGCAAUGCAGGUCACGAGCACGCCAGAGGAGUGGAAGUCACAAGGUUUUAGGGUCAGCUGUUUUUCUGUUUUUUUCUUUAUUAAUUGUUUCCACUUCACGGAAUUCUUAUUUUCGCCUCAUUUGGAGUCAACAUGAUCUGUGGAUGCUAGGGAUUUUGCAAUGACAAUGUGAUUGUAAAAGUGUGAUUGAUCCUGAACAAACUGUGUAUAACGGGGACGUUCCGUGGUACAAAAUAUGGUG
This is an RNA transcript of Eucalyptus grandis, 5539 nucleotides long. RefSeq lists it as uncharacterized. The record is from RefSeq and is a predicted model, not a curated record. The transcript has 10 exons. NCBI's taxonomy places the organism in Eukaryota, Viridiplantae, Streptophyta, Magnoliopsida, Myrtales, Myrtaceae.